This 73-nucleotide transfer RNA is filed under the name Marmota monax (woodchuck). RNAcentral's name for it is "tRNA.Ala". Lineage: Eukaryota; Metazoa; Chordata; Mammalia; Rodentia; Sciuridae. The record is from RNAcentral.
GGGGAUGUGGCUCAAGCGGUAACAGUGCUCGCCUGGCAUGCGUGGGGCGCUGGGUUCGAUCCUCAGCACCACA